GAUGAACGCUAGCUACAGGCUUAACACGAUGCAAGUCGAGGGGUAGCAGGGUAGCAAUACCGCUGACGACCGGCGCACGGGUGAGUAACACGUAUCCAACCUUCCCAUAACUCUGGGAUAGCCUUUCGAAAGAAAGAUUAAUACCGGAUGGUACUUUUUCAAGGCAUCUUGAGAAAGUUAAAGAUUUAUUGGUUAUGGAUGGGGAUGCGUUCCAUUAGAUAGUUGGUGAGGUAACGGCUCACCAAGUCUUCGAUGGAUAGGGGUUCUGAGAGGAAGGUCCCCCACAUUGGUACUGAGACACGGACCAAACUCCUACGGGAGGCAGCAGUGAGGAAUAUUGGUCAAUGGGCGAGAGCCUGAACCAGCCAAGUAGCGUGAAGGAUGAAGGUCCUAUGGAUUGUAAACUUCUUUUAUAGUAGAAUAAAGUGACCCACGUGUGGGUUUUUGUAUGUAUACUAUGAAUAAGGAUCGGCUAACUCCGUG
RNAcentral lists this ribosomal RNA (483 nucleotides) under uncultured bacterium. RNAcentral describes it as "bacterial SSU rRNA". It matches the Rfam family "Bacterial small subunit ribosomal RNA", at positions 28 to 507 of the family's 1533-position model. The record is from RNAcentral.